This 379-nucleotide ribosomal RNA is filed under the name uncultured bacterium. RNAcentral describes it as "partial 16S ribosomal RNA". It matches the Rfam family "Bacterial small subunit ribosomal RNA", at positions 338 to 734 of the family's 1533-position model. The record is from RNAcentral.
CCUACGGGUGGCAGCAGUGGGGAAUAUUGCACAAUGGGGGCAACCCUGAUGCAGCGAUGCCGCGUGAGUGAAGAAGUAAUUCGUUAUGUAAAGCACUAUCAGCAGGGAAGAAAGUGAUGGUACCUGUGUACGAAGCGCCGGCUAACUCCGUGCCAGCAGCCGCGGUAUUACGGAGGGGCAAAGCGUUAUCCGGCUUUACUGGGGGUAAAGGGAGCGUAGACGGGAGUGCAUGUCGCGCGUGAAAGACGCGGGCUCAACCCCCGGACUGCUCUGGAAACUGGAAGGCUAGAGUUGAGGAGAGGGAAGUGGAAUGCCUGGUGUAGCGGUGAAAUGCGUAGAUAUCAGGAGGAACACCAGUGGCGAAGGCGGCCUACUGGAC